RNAcentral lists this non-coding RNA (23 nucleotides) under Arabidopsis thaliana (thale cress). The record is from RNAcentral. Lineage: Eukaryota; Viridiplantae; Streptophyta; Magnoliopsida; Brassicales; Brassicaceae.
UCAGCUUGGGUCAACUCUGGCUA